GUCUACAGCCAUGCCACCCUGAACAAGCCCCAUCCCAUCCGAUCUCGGAAGCUAAGCAGGGUCGGGCCUGGUUAGUACUUGGAUAGGAGACCACCUAGGAAGACCAGGUGCUGUAGGCA
Non-coding RNA from Pteropus alecto (black flying fox), 119 nucleotides. Lineage: Eukaryota; Metazoa; Chordata; Mammalia; Chiroptera; Pteropodidae. The record is from Rfam.